RNAcentral lists this ribosomal RNA (253 nucleotides) under uncultured bacterium. Its description in RNAcentral is "partial 16S ribosomal RNA". It matches the Rfam family "Bacterial small subunit ribosomal RNA", at positions 524 to 776 of the family's 1533-position model. The record is from RNAcentral.
UACGUAGGGCGCAAGCGUUGUCCGGAAUUAUUGGGCGUAAAGAGCUCGUAGGUGGCGUGUCGCGUCUGCCGUGAAAGCCCAUGGCUUAACUGUGGGUCUGCGGUGGAUACGGGCAGGCUGGAGGCUGGUAGGGGCAAGCGGAAUUCCUGGUGUAGCGGUGAAAUGCGCAGAUAUCAGGAGGAACACCGGUGGCGAAGGCGGCUCUCUGGUACGGAACUGACGCUGAGACGCGAAAGCGUGGGAAGCGAACAGG